RNAcentral lists this ribosomal RNA (406 nucleotides) under uncultured bacterium. Its description in RNAcentral is "partial 16S ribosomal RNA". It matches the Rfam family "Bacterial small subunit ribosomal RNA", at positions 29 to 526 of the family's 1533-position model. The record is from RNAcentral.
AUUGAACGCUGGCGGCAGGCCUAACACAUGCAAGUCGAACGAGUGGCGGACGGGGGUGCAAUGUCUGGGAAACUGUUCGAUGGAGGGGGAUAUCCACUGGACACGGUGGCUAAUACCGCAUACCAGCGGAUGUGCCCAGAUGGGAUUCGCGAGGGGGUGGGGUAACGGCUCACCUAGGCGACGAGCCCACGAUGGUCCGAGAGGAUGACCAGCCACACGGGAACUGAGACACGGUCCAGACUCCUACGGGAGGCAGCAGGGGGGAAUAUGGCACAAUGGGCGCAAGCCUGAUACAGCCAUGCCGCGUGUAUGAAGAAGGCCUUCGGGUUGUAAAGUACUUUCAGCGAGGAGGCGUUACUCGCAGAAGAAGCACCGGCUAACUCCGUGCCAGCAGCCGCGGUAAUUC